RNAcentral lists this long non-coding RNA (1213 nucleotides) under Junco hyemalis (dark-eyed junco). RNAcentral's name for it is "lncRNA (ENSJHYG00000007150.1)". Lineage: Eukaryota; Metazoa; Chordata; Aves; Passeriformes; Passerellidae. The record is from RNAcentral.
CUCUGUGCUGCAGAACUCUGUGCAGCCCGGUGAUUCCCCUGCAACAACUUCUGAGAAAUGCUGUGGUACCUUCUGGAAAGGAUGGCACAGGUUCCAGCCGGCACAGAUCAGGCUCCAGGGGAAGCGCGGAGCCGCAGAAGCGCCGGGCUGCAGCUGGAGCAAACAUCACACCGUGUUCAAACCGCCCUGCUGCCUUCCGCUGGCCAGCCUGGCCCAGGUGGAACCUGCUGCUGCUGCGGGAGGAUUGCACCUCCAGCUGCCCAAACAGCCACGGGAUUAACACCCCAUGGCCAGGACGCUGUUUGUGAAAAACAGUUUAUUUAGAUUCUCUGUAACACAUGAUGAGAGGACAAAGCACUCUGCAGUACAGGGACAAACCUUGUUUAAAAUGUAUUCCUGGGUAUUGGAUGGAAUGGAAAACAUGAACUGGUUUAACUGGCAUUUGGUAUUUUCUAGGGUGCUUGGUUUGUUUGUUUUUCCAUGUGCAUUACAUUUUCCUUCAGACACUUCCAUCUAGAUUGCUUGAUGAAGAUCUCAUGGAGGUUCACAGCUUUUCCAAGGUUGCUGUCUCUGGCUAUCCAGCCUACAUUGGAAGGCUUCCAAGGCAAAAAUGUCAAAAUUAAGCUCAGCAUUAGGCUUUCAUUUCUGGUAUUUUAUAUUUGGGUUCAUCAGGAAUUAGCCAGCAGUCUCAGGAUCCCAUAGGGCUCAAUAUGAUCUUGCUAACCAAAUACUCAUCAGUGUUCUAUUCCUACACAUCCUCCAUGAUCCCAUGAUUUGUCUUUGCUUCUGUCUUUCUACAGCUUCUGUGGAUCUUUAGAGAAAGCUCUUUGCUGAGCUUAGUUUAACAAAAACAAACAUUACAUGCAAUUUGUUCUGGACAGAAAUGUGCCCCGAUUCCAACUCCAGGAAGAUUUUAUCUAGACUUUCUCUUUUUCACUUUUUCCUUUGAGAAGAAGGAGAUUGUUCCUGGGAAGAGCUGGAUAAUGAAACCAGAGACUGCACACUUUGGAGGAGCCCGUGGGCGGAACCUGAAGGGGUUGGAGUGGUGGAGCUGGGUGAGGGUCUGCCCUUCAGGGUGCCGUGACACAGGCGAUCAUGUCCUGUCCUGAGUGACAGAGGUGACAGAGGUGAUCAGAGAGCUCCUGUCCUGUCCUGAGUGCCUUCUCCUCAUGGCUACAGGAGUUAACUUACCUCAACAGUGACAAGAUCAACA